AUAUGGACUGAUAUUUAGGGAAGGUCUUUAUUCCAGGCAGGGGAAGUGAGUAUAUUCAGGAAAAACAGGUAAAGUUUGUUAAAAUACAAUAGGAAUUUGAGAAGAAGGCCCAGAGCUACCUUUAUAGCUACCUUCUUAUUGCAAAAUCCUUCAACCCUCAGUGACCUCCCUACUGGCCCCCCAGCCAGGAUGCUCUCAUUGUGUGGUGUUGGUACAAGUGCAAAGCAAGUUCAGAUACCACCACUUUGCAGUUUCUGCCUAGCCUCCAGAGAAAACUCAGAUGCUUAGCAUGUAGGCCGUCAGCUCAGGGUUCCUCUGUCCAUAGUAACCUGUAAAUUCACUGAGUAGUGGUUUUGCAAUUGAAGCAAAUUAGGUCAUUUUCCAUCUGCUAAAUCCACUAGUCAUAUUCUAGCCAUGAUUAUCACAUUAACUACAGUCCCAGCAAGUGAUUUUGGGGUCAGCGUUCCAAGUAGUACGUCGUGGACAAAUUUAAUAGUCCUUUGUUGUUGAAGAAAUACUCUGUUAUGGAUGGUACUAGGGACUAUAUGGACUUACUUGUUAAAGUGCCUGAAAAUAAUAUAUAAAAAGAUUUUGUGGAGGUAUAUACAAGAGAAAAUGUGUGCUACACAGGACCCUCACUGGGGUGGGACUAGGUCCUGCUUUUGUAGUAAGGGGUCAGUGGACAUCAGCAAUAGUUUCUCUGUAGCCCUGAGAGUUACUUUAGAGCAUCAUCAGUUACUUCUGUGAUCAGUGAACAUGAUGCAAAAUCCACAGAGGAAGGGGAUAAGUGAUAUGUUAUUUUUUCUGACUAUAUUUGUUUAUGUAGAAAAUAUAUUUGCAUAAGUAUUUUCUAGAGUUUUUUCUUUAAACUUAUAGUUACCUUUCAUGUAAUCUUAACACAAGUAGUAUCUGUCUUACUUCUUGCUUCCUAUGUAUCUCCAGGAGUUGCCUCCUUAUAACGGUUUUGGACUAGUGGAAGAUUCUGCUCAGAAUUGUUUUGCUCUCAUUCCAAAAGCUCCAAAAAAAGAUGUUAUUAAAAUGCUGGUGAAUGAUAACAAGGUGCUUCGUUAUUUGGCUGUACUGGAAUCCCCCAUCCCAGAAGACAAAGACCGCAGAUUUGUCUUCUCUUACUUUCUAGCUACCGACAUGAUCAGUAUCUUUGAGCCUCCUGUUCGCAAUUCUGGUAUCAUUGGGGGCAAGUACCUUGGCAGGACUAAAGUUGUUAAACCAUACUCUACAGUGGACAACCCUGUCUACUAUGGCCCCAGUGACUUCUUCAUUGGUGCUGUGAUUGAAGUGUUUGGUCACCGGUUCAUCAUCCUUGAUACAGACGAGUAUGUUUUGAAAUACAUGGAGAGCAACGCUGCCCAGUAUUCACCAGAAGCACUCGCGUCAAUUCAGAACCAUGUCCGAAAGCGAGAAGCGCCUGCUCCAGAAGCAGAAAGCAAGCAAACUGAAAAGGAUCCAGGCGUGCAGGAAUUGGAAGCAUUAAUAGACACAAUUCAGAAGCAACUGAAAGAUCACUCAUGCAAAGACAACAUUCGUGAGGCAUUUCAAAUUUAUGACAAGGAAGCUUCAGGAUAUGUGGACAGAGACAUGUUCUUUAAAAUCUGUGAAUCGCUUAAUGUCCCAGUGGAUGACUCCUUGGUUAAGGAGUUAAUCAGGAUGUGCUCUCAUGGAGAAGGCAAGAUUAACUACUAUAACUUUGUUCGUGCUUUCUCAAACUGACCUGCUGAUGAGAAAAUGCAAGACAAUUUUUGAUAUUGGAACUAUGCUUUGAAAUACACCUUACACUCUUCAUAGAGGCAUUUACAGAGUUCCUGAAGCUUUAUUUCUGUUUUGGUUCUUAUUUCACUCCUACUGAAGUCGAAACUAAAUUGGAUCUAAUAGGAUCUAAGAUUGGUGCCUUAUUUAGGGUGAUAGGGGUAUAGCAAUGUCUAAUUUUGUGUGUCAGAUUGACUUGGCCACAGGGGGCCCAAAUAUUUCCUUUCUUUCUUUUUAAAAAAAUAUUUUAAAUUUUUUUAGAGAUGGGAUCUCACUCUGUCAUACAGGCUGGAGUGUGGUGGCACUAUCCUAGUUCUAUGAAGCCUCAGACUCCUGGGCUCAAGUGAUCCUCCCACUUCAACCUCCCCAGUAGCUGGGACAACAGGCUCAAGCCACCAUGCCCAGCUAAUUUUUAAAAUUAUUUUGUAGAGACAAGGUCUCGCUAUGUUGCCUGAACUUGUCUCAAACUCAUGAGCUCCAGAAAUUCUCCCACCUCAGCCUCCAAAAGUGCUGGGAUUAUAGGCAUGAGCCACUGUGCCCAGCCUCAGAUAUUUCAUUAUUCUGGGGGUUUCUCUGAAGGUAUUUUUGGAUGAGAUAAACAUUUGAAUCAGAAGACUAAGUAAAACGGAUAGUCCUCCCUAAUGUGGGUGGGCCUCCUCCAAUCAUUUGAAGACAUGAGUAGAAUAAAAAGGCUGACCUUUCCCCAGCUAAGAGAAUUCCUCCUGCCUGACUGGCUUCAAAUUGGAACAUCAGCCUUUUCUUGCCUUCAGACACAAAUGGAAACAUCAGCUGUUGGUCUGGAGCCUGCUGACCUUCAGACUGGACCUAAACCAUCAGCUUUCCUAAGUCUUAGGCCUUUGGAUUCAGACUGGAAUUAUACCUUUAGCUCUCCUGGGUCUCCAGCUUGCCAAUUUACCCUGCAGAUCUUGGGACUUGUAAGCCUUCAUAAUUGUGUGAGCAAUUUCUUAUAACUCUCUCUUUCUCUCUCUCUACAUACAUAUAUAUAUAUAUUUUAUAUGUACACAUUC
RNAcentral lists this small RNA (2792 nucleotides) under Pan troglodytes (chimpanzee). RNAcentral's name for it is "retained intron". Lineage: Eukaryota; Metazoa; Chordata; Mammalia; Primates; Hominidae. The record is from RNAcentral.